RNAcentral lists this ribosomal RNA (388 nucleotides) under uncultured bacterium. Its description in RNAcentral is "bacterial SSU rRNA". It matches the Rfam family "Bacterial small subunit ribosomal RNA", at positions 28 to 417 of the family's 1533-position model. The record is from RNAcentral.
GACGAACGCUGGCGGCGUGCUUAACACAUGCAAGUCGAACGAUGAAGCCCUUUCGGGGGUGGAUUAGUGGCGAACGGGUGAGUAACACGUGGGUAACCUGCCCUGUACCCUGGGAUAAGCCUUGGAAACGAGGUCUAAUACCGGAUAUGACCUGCUCUCGCAUGGGGGUGGGUGGAAAGUUUUGGCGGUGCAGGAUGGACCCGCGGCCUAUCAGCUUGUUGGUGGGGUGAUGGCCUACCAAGGCGACGACGGGUAGCCGGCCUGAGAGGGCGACCGGCCACACUGGGACUGAGACACGGCCCAGACUCCUACGGGAGGCAGCAGUGGGGAAUAUUGCACAAUGGGGCGAAAGCCUGAUGCAGCGACGCCGCGUGAGGGAUGACGGCCU